Molecule: ribosomal RNA, 877 nt
Filed under: Cytospora schulzeri
Lineage: Eukaryota; Fungi; Ascomycota; Sordariomycetes; Diaporthales; Cytosporaceae
Also listed under: 1 other name
Description: partial 28S ribosomal RNA
Rfam family: Eukaryotic large subunit ribosomal RNA
Source: RNAcentral
GAUAGCAUAUCAAUAAGCGGAGGAAAAGAAACCAACAGGGAUUGCCCUAGUAACGGCGAGUGAAGCGGCAACAGCUCAAAUUGAAAGCUGGCUCCGGCCCGCAUUGUAAUUUGCAGAGGAUGCUUCUGGUGAGGUGCCUUCCGAGUUCCCUGGAACGGGACGCCAUAGAGGGUGAGAGCCCCGUAUGGAUGGACACCAAACCUGUGUGAAGCUCCUUCAACGAGUCGAGUAGUUUGGGAAUGCUGCUCUAAAUGGGAGGUAAAUCUCUUCUAAAGCUAAAUACCGGCCAGAGACCGAUAGCGCACAAGUAGAGUGAUCGAAAGAUGAAAAGCACCUUGAAAAGGGGGUUAAACAGUACGUGAAAUUGUUGAAAGGGAAGCGCUUGUGACCAGACUUGCGCCGGGCAGCUCAUCAGGGGUUCUCCCCUGUGCACUCUGCCCGGCUCAGGCCAGCAUCGGUUCUCGUGGGAGGAUAAGAACGGUAGGAACGUGGCCCCCUUCCGGGGGGGUGUUAUAGCCUACCGUACGAUACUCCCGUGGGGACCGAGGUUCGCGCUCCGCAAGGAUGCUGGCGUAAUGGUCAUCAGCGACCCGUCUUGAAACACGGACCAAGGAGUCGUCCAUUAGAGCGAGCGUUUGGGUGUAAAACCCGCACGCGUAAUGAAAGUGAACGCAGGUGAGAGCUUCGGCGCAUCAUCGACCGAUCCUGAUGUCUUCGGAUGGAUUUGAGUAAGAGUUUUAACGGACGGACCCGAAAGACAGUGAACUAUGCUUGUAUAGGGUGAAGCCAGAGGAAACUCUGGUGGAGGCUCGCAGCGGUUCUGACGUGCAAAUCGAUCGUCAAAUAUGAGCAUGGGGGCGAAAGACUAAUCGAACUU